RNAcentral lists this ribosomal RNA (414 nucleotides) under Octadecabacter sp. ini25. RNAcentral describes it as "bacterial SSU rRNA". It matches the Rfam family "Bacterial small subunit ribosomal RNA", at positions 148 to 597 of the family's 1533-position model. The record is from RNAcentral. Lineage: Bacteria; Pseudomonadati; Pseudomonadota; Alphaproteobacteria; Rhodobacterales; Roseobacteraceae.
CUCUGGAAACGGAGAGUAAUACCGUAUACGCCCUUCGGGGGAAAGAUUUAUCGGUUAAGGAUUGGCCCGCGUUAAUUAGAUAGUUGGUGGGGUAAUGGCCUACCAAGUCUACGAUCUAUAGCUGGUUUGAGAGGAUGAUCAGCAACACUGGGACUGAGACACGGCCCAGACUCCUACGGGAGGCAGCAGUGGGGAAUCUUAGACAAUGGGCGCAAGCCUGAUCUAGCGAUGCCGCGUGAGUGACGAAGGCCUUAGGGUCGUAAAGCUCUUUCACCAGGGAUGAUAAUGACAGUACCUGGAAAAGAAACCCCGGCUAACUCCGUGCCAGCAGCCGCGGUAAUACGGAGGGGGUUAGCGUUGUUCGGAAUUACUGGGCGUAAAGCGCACGUAGGCGGAUUAGUAAGUUAGAGGUGA